Small nuclear RNA from Sarcophilus harrisii (Tasmanian devil), 100 nucleotides. Lineage: Eukaryota; Metazoa; Chordata; Mammalia; Dasyuromorphia; Dasyuridae. The record is from Ensembl.
CUAUUCAGCACAUAUACUAAAACUGGAAUGAUACAAAGAAGAUUAUCAUGGACUCUGAACAAGGAUGACAUGCAAAAUUUGUAAAAUAUUCCAUAGUCUA